Long non-coding RNA from Drosophila guanche, 348 nucleotides. RefSeq lists it as uncharacterized. NCBI's taxonomy places the organism in Eukaryota, Metazoa, Arthropoda, Insecta, Diptera, Drosophilidae. The record is from RefSeq and is a predicted model, not a curated record. The transcript is spliced from 2 exons.
AAUGGCCGCCUAUACUCGCAUCCAGCGGGCUUUCCUUGGACCAGGAGGAAGCGACUGGGCUUGGAGUGGAUGUAGGCGAGAAAAUAUUGCUGAGGGCGUGGCAUUUUGGGCGCCCCCCGUGUCAAACAUCAGACCACGGUCAAGCGGCUGCUGGUCCGGCCGCCUGUAGGUUUCUCUGUGUGCCUAUGCCGUCGAUGAAUGUUGGCAGAGUCCUCAGCUAUUACUCUCUCCAUGGACCAAGGGAGGGCUAUCGAUUGGAGUGGAUGAUCGGCGUAGAGAUUUGUGGGAGGCGUAGCAUAUUACUUGUUGUCUGUUGUUUUGGCUUAUAAAUUGGAUUGUUUAUUAUUA